CUAAGAAUCUUCCGCAAUGGGCGAAAGCCUGACGGAGCGACGCCGCGUGGGCGAAGAAGGCCGAAAGGUUGUAAAGCUCUUUUCUUGGUGAAGAAUAGGGGCAGGAGGAAAUGCCUGUCUGAUGACGUUAGCCGAGGAAUAAGCCCCGGCCAAUUACGUGCCAGCAGCCGCGGUAACACGUAAGGGGCGAGCGUUGUUCGGAAUCAUUGGGCGUAAAGGGCGUGUAGGCGGUUUGGUAAGCCUGGUGUGAAAGACCACAGCCUAACUGUGGGAUCGCGCUGGGAACUGCUGGACUUGAGUUCAGAAGGGGGAGGUAGAAUUCCUGGUGUAGGGGUGAAAUCUGUAGAUAUCAGGAAGAAUACCGGUGGCGAAGGCGACCUCCUGGUCUUGGACUGACGCUGAGGCGCGAAAGCGUGGGGAGCGAACA
Molecule: ribosomal RNA, 427 nt
Filed under: uncultured bacterium
Lineage: Bacteria
Description: bacterial SSU rRNA
Rfam family: Bacterial small subunit ribosomal RNA
Source: RNAcentral